GGGUGUGAUCAUACCAACACUAAUGCACCGGAUCCCAUCAAAACUCUAGUCAAACGUGUUUUGGCAAAAAUAGUACUAGGAUGGGUGACCUUUUAAGAAGUCCUUGUGUUGCUCUCC
Gossypium hirsutum (cotton) is the source of this 117-nucleotide non-coding RNA. The record is from Rfam. Lineage: Eukaryota; Viridiplantae; Streptophyta; Magnoliopsida; Malvales; Malvaceae.